Molecule: small nucleolar RNA, 69 nt
Organism: Sparus aurata (gilthead seabream)
Lineage: Eukaryota; Metazoa; Chordata; Actinopteri; Spariformes; Sparidae
Gene: SNORD24
Rfam family: Small nucleolar RNA SNORD24
About the family: U24 is a member of the C/D class of snoRNA which contain the C (UGAUGA) and D (CUGA) box motifs.
Source: Ensembl
UGCAAAUGAUGUGAAAGAAUAUUUGCUAUCUUAAUAGCCGUGUUGACAUCCGCCAAGAUCGCUGAUGCA